UUAGGAUUUGAUUAAGAUUUGGUUUAGGAUUUAGAGUUUGGUUGGGGUUUUAUUUAGGAUUUGGUUAGGAUUUAGUUUAGGGUUUGAUUAGGGUUUGGUUUAGGAUUUAGAGUUUAGUUGAGGAUUUAAGGUUUGGUUUAGGAUUUAAGAUUUAAUUAGGGUUUGAUUUAGGGUUUAGCGUUUGAUUUAGGAUUCAUUUAGAGAUUGGUUAGAAUUUGGUUUAGGGUUGGGUUAGGAUUUGGUUUAGGUUUUAAGGUUAAGUUAGGAUUUGAUUUAGGAUUUAUUUAGGAAUUAUUUAGAGUUUGGUUUAGAAUUGGAUUAGGAUUUGGUUUAAGGUUUAGGAUUUGGUUUAGGAUUUUAAGAUUUAGUUAGGGUUUGAUUUAGGAUUUGUUUAGGAAUUGAUUAGAGUUUGGUUUAGGAUUUGGUUAAGAUUUGGUUAGGAUUUGGUUUAUGGUUUAGGGUUUGAUUUAGGAUUUAGGAUUUUAUUAGAGUUUGUUUAGGAUUUAAGAUUUAAUUAGUUUUGGCCUAAAAUUUGAAUGAAGUCCAAUAGGAUUUUAACUAGGAUUAAAUUAAGAUUGAAUUGUGAUGUAUUUGAGAUAUAUUUGUGAUCAUUCUAAUAUUUUUUUAAGAUUUUUUAUUAUUUCUUUGAAGUUCUUUGAAAUUUCGUUGAAUUUGAUUAAAGCUAACUUAGCAUUAUUAUGGUCUAAUUAGAAUUUAGUUAGUAUUCUAUUAGAAUUAGGAUUUUGUUGUUGUAAUUUUCAUUCUACCUUCUAUAGCUAGGUGCCCAAAGCAUUUUCAAGCAAGACUUCACGUAUUACGACAAUGAGCUUUAUUGCGAGUUAUUUUACCUUGAGCAUCUUGCUUGCAUAUUAAUACCAUCUUAUAUCCCACAAGGGGAGAUGUAAGAGUGUCUACAAUUGGAGCAAAGACUUUCCUCUUAUGCAAAGAAGCAUAUUCUUCUUCA
RNAcentral lists this long non-coding RNA (964 nucleotides) under Physcomitrium patens. RNAcentral's name for it is "long non-coding RNA (PPAT_LNC003124)". Lineage: Eukaryota; Viridiplantae; Streptophyta; Bryopsida; Funariales; Funariaceae. The record is from RNAcentral.